GGUAGCAUUCAUUUGGAGAAGACUACAAAUGCUUGCCAUGGCACACAUUCAUCCACCACGUCGUGUACAGCACAGUUUAAUACAGCCAUGCUUUACUAUAUACUACGUACACAGCUAUUACUAGUGAGGAUCUAGUAAGAAAGUCAUGUGAAAGUCUGUAAACAAAGAUACUCUGACAAAGAUAUUCACGAAAAGAGACACCACUUUAAUUUAUAUGUUGAGUGCUAGCACAGAGCAGUCUUGCAUAUAAACAGACCAAGACCAAGUAAGUUGACAAGUUAUUGCAUUCAACUUUUGGAUCCACAUGAUAGUGCAGUGUAGGUCUACCUCAUGCAAGAGUACAGCUAAGACAAUGAUAGGACAAAGAACAAUGGAAUGUCUUCUGUGGUUGCUAGCUGAGACCCUCUAUGCUUGACUCUGUCUAUUGGUUGGAUCAUGAAGCCGUCAAAACAUCCAGAAUGCAAAAGAAUCGGAUCAAGUGGCAUGUGGUUGUACCAUACUGGACAAGCUGAGUGUGUAUGGGGGAGCAGCCAGCUGGCACUUGAAGGGGACCAAGCACACACACUCUAGUUCAGGCAAAUCAAGGAAGCCCUUGAACAAGAGUCAGUCAAACAAGCCGAUCCAAACACACUACACAAAGAAGACCCCACCCACUAACAAACAGCCUCAGGGCUCGGAACAACUGCACCCGUCAUGGGCAGCCAGUAAGAAGCGGGAAAAAAUGGAGAACAGAAUCUUAGGGAUAAAAAACAGACUCAGACUAAAUGAAUGUAGUUUCCAAAAAAAUUAUUUAUUAAGUUGUUGUAGUAAUAGCAUGCACUACUCAGAUUAAGCUAACUAUCAUCUAUC
Halichondria panicea is the source of this 849-nucleotide long non-coding RNA. RefSeq lists it as uncharacterized. NCBI's taxonomy places the organism in Eukaryota, Metazoa, Porifera, Demospongiae, Suberitida, Halichondriidae. The transcript has 4 exons. The record is from RefSeq and is a predicted model, not a curated record.